CUUGUAGAGAAGAGGCCCUGACGCUAAACACAACAUCUGUGCUCAUCCAGCCACACUUAUUUUACAUGUUCCUUCGUCUCCUUUGAUUUGCCUAUUGGACUAUCCUUGCCUGAUGUAUCCUUAGAUUUGCCCCCAAGACACUGGGUUUGGUUUGUCCUGGUUUGAACUUGGUGUCUCUGGCUAUUGACUCAUGUUCUGACCUCCACCCAGCCCCAUUUCUGCUCUUCAGAACCAGGCUUUGGCACCUCCAAGGACCUGACCUCAGCUCAACCUGCCUCUGGCCCUGUUUCUCCUGCCUGACACCGACAAUUGGAAGGAACCCGGUUCUUCUGCAAGGAGCUCCAUAGAGCUGAGUGGUUUACCUGAAAUAAAGCUUGCAUUAUGGGAGAGACAAACAGGGAUGGAUGGCUUUUAAAAAAUCCACAGGCCCAGAGGCAGGGCCAGAAUUACAAAAUCACCAAAUUUUGACAUCUGCCUCUUCAAUCGGUUCCAGGAAUGAAAUAAGUCCAGAGUGGGUGUUUGGCCAAGCUGGGAACCAGAAAUCACAGGAAUGAAGCUUGGAGAUCAUGACUAGAGAAAUAAUAGAAACCGUGAAGUCUAAUCACCAGUGUGAGGACAAAAAUGGAAGAAGGAGCAGCAAAGUGGAGAAGCUGCAAAAGAUGUAAGUAGAAUCAGGGGCAAGAUGAAGGUCAAGGGGAGUGAUUCAGAACCCAGUCUGUGAACACUGUGUUAGUUCUGAACAAACAAAAACCUAGUGUGUGUCAUUAGCGUCCAUGAGAGCUUCAGUGGGCUCUCCAGGGCUGGACAACUUGUUAACACCAAGUCUAAAGAGGCUGGAGCCAGGCUGGGUGCACGCAACUCAGAAACUGCGGAGAGUGCCUUGAGUUAUGGUCAGUCUUGUUUUCUUUAAUAGACUACAGGUACAUCUGUUUCUUGACUCUGCCUUGGAAUUAUUUGUCAUUCUGAUGAUUCCUUCAUGAAGCAGCUAAAU
Molecule: long non-coding RNA, 991 nt
Filed under: Bos indicus x Bos taurus (hybrid cattle)
Lineage: Eukaryota; Metazoa; Chordata; Mammalia; Artiodactyla; Bovidae
Description: lncRNA (ENSBIXG00005011406.1)
Source: RNAcentral